GAUGAACGCUGGCGGCGUGCCUAAUACAUGCAAGUCGAGCGAACAGAUGAGGAGCUUGCUCCUCUGACGCUAGCGGCGGACGGGUGAGUAACACGUGGAUAACCUACCUAUAAGACUUGGAUAACUUCGGGAAACCGGAGCUAAUACCGGAUAAUAUAUUUAACCGCAUGGUUCAAUAGUGAAAGACGGUUUUGCUGUCACUUAUAGAUGGAUCCGCGCCGCAUUAGCUAGUUGGUAAGGUAACGGCUUACCAAGGCAACGAUGCGUAGCCGACCUGAGAGGGUGAUCGGCCACACUGGAACUGAGACACGGUCCAGACUCCUACGGGAGGCAGCAGUAGGGAAUCUUCCGCAAUGGGCGAAAGCCUGACGGAGCAACGCCGCGUGAGUGAUGAAGGUCUUCGGAUCGUAAAACUCUGUUAUUAGGGAAGAACAAAUGUGUAAGUAACUAUGCACGUCUUGACGGUACCUAAUCAGAAAGCCACGGCUAACUACGUG
Molecule: ribosomal RNA, 497 nt
Filed under: uncultured bacterium
Lineage: Bacteria
Description: partial 16S ribosomal RNA
Rfam family: Bacterial small subunit ribosomal RNA
Source: RNAcentral